RNAcentral lists this ribosomal RNA (253 nucleotides) under uncultured bacterium. Its description in RNAcentral is "partial 16S ribosomal RNA". It matches the Rfam family "Bacterial small subunit ribosomal RNA", at positions 524 to 776 of the family's 1533-position model. The record is from RNAcentral.
UACGUAGGGUGCAAGCGUUGUCCGGAAUUAUUGGGCGUAAAGGGCUCGUAGGCGGUCCAUCACGUCGGGAGUGAAAAGCUGGGGCUUAACCCCAGUCCUGCUUCCGAUACGGGUGGACUAGAGGUAGGUAGGGGAGAACGGAAUUCCUGGUGUAGCGGUGAAAUGCGCAGAUAUCAGGAGGAACACCGGUGGCGAAGGCGGUUCUCUGGGCCUUACCUGACGCUGAGGAGCGAAAGCGCGGGGAGCAAACAGG